ACCUCGGUGGUGUGGUGGUAGCACGUGUUCCCGGUAUGGAUGAAGCGCGGGUUUGACUCCCGUUUGAGGUA
Molecule: non-coding RNA, 71 nt
Organism: Parelaphostrongylus tenuis
Lineage: Eukaryota; Metazoa; Nematoda; Chromadorea; Rhabditida; Metastrongylidae
Source: the annotation of a GenBank genome assembly